ACUUGUGUUGGCAAGGCAUCUCCUUCGCCUCCGUCCCCAUUUCAAACUCCUCAAGACAGACUGUACAGCCCAAUACUUCCUGGAUGUUCACAGUUGGCAAUGCUGCCACAGAUUCCUUCUUAGCAGGCGGCGUCCCAGAACGAUUCAGGUCACUGUCCGCCAAACGCUGCAAGAGCAUAUCCAGGCCAGGACCAAGAAAGUAGUCUCCAAGUGAAACGCCAGUACUUGUGUUGCUUGAGUUCUCUUGGUUGUCACUAGGUCCAAAUGUUCCUUGCAGAAUAAUGGCCUCAUUGUUGGAGUUGAUCAGUAUCAAGCUCUCUGUCCUUUCUCCC
Molecule: long non-coding RNA, 332 nt
Filed under: Hordeum vulgare
Lineage: Eukaryota; Viridiplantae; Streptophyta; Magnoliopsida; Poales; Poaceae
Description: long non-coding RNA (HVUL_LNC014204)
Source: RNAcentral